UCCCUGGCCAUGGCGUUCACAUUCGCGGCCUUCUGCUACAUGCUGGCGCUGUUGCUCACCGCCACGCUCAUCUUCUUCGCCAUUUGGCACAUUAUAGCAUUUGAUGAGCUGAAGACUGAUUACAAGAAUCCUAUAGACCAGUGUAAUACCCUGAAUCCCCUUGUACUCCCAGAGUACCUCAUCCAUGCUUUCUUCUGUGUCAUGUUUCUUUGUGCAGCAGAGUGGCUUACACUGGGUCUCAAUAUGCCCCUCUUGGCAUAUCAUAUUUGGAGGUAUAUGAGUAGACCAGUGUUGAGUGGACCAGGACUCUAUGAUCCUACAACCAUCAUGAAUGCAGAUAUUCUAGCAUAUUGUCAGAAGGAAGGAUGGUGUAAAUUGGCUUUUUAUCUUCUAGCAUUUUUUUACUACCUACACGGCAUGAUCUAUGUUUUGGUGAGCUCUUAGAACAACACACAGAAGAAUUGGUCCAGUUAAGUGCAUGCAAAAAGCCACCACAUGAAGGGAUUCUAUCCAACAAGAUCCUGUUUCCAAGAGUAGCCUGUGGAAUCUGAUCAGUUACUUUAAAAAUGACUCCUUAUUUUUUAAAUGUUUCCACAUUUUUUUUCUUGUGGAAAGACUGUUUUUAUAUGUUAUACUCGGAUAAAGAAUUUAAAUGGAAUUACAUAUAAAUUAAUAUAAAAUGAUUACCUCUGGUAUUGACAGGUUUGAACUUGCACUUCUUAAGGAACAGCCAUAAUCCUCUGAAUGAUGCAUUGAUUACUGACUGUCUUAGUACAUUGGAAGUUUUUGUUUAUAGGAACUUGUAGGGCUCAUUUUGGUUUCAUUGAAACAGUGUCUAAUUAUAAAUUAGUUGUAGAUAUCAGGUGCUUCUGAUGAACUGAAAAUGUAUAUCUGUCUAGUGGGAAACUUCUUGGGUUUUCUCAUCUGUCAUGUAGAUGAUUAUAUAUGGAUACAUUUACAAAAAUAAAAAGCAGGAUUUUUCCCUUUGACUUGAUACUAUCCCUGUAUAUUGCAUGAAUGAGAGAUUUCCCAUAUUUCCAUCAGAGUAAUAAAUAUACUUGCUUUAAUUCUUAAGCAUAAGUAAACAUGAUAUAAAAUAUAUAUGCUGAAUUACUUGUGAAGAGUGCAUUUAAAGCUAUUUUAAAUGUGUUUUUAUUUGUAAGACAUUACUUAUUAAGAAAUUGGUUAUUAUGCUUACUGUUCUAAUCUGGUGGUAAAGGUAUUCUUAAGAAUUUGUAGGUACUUUAGAUUUUCAAAACUGAAUGAGAGAGAAAAUUGUAUAACCAUCCUGCUGUUCCUUUAGUGCAAUACAGUAAAACUCUGAAAUUAA
This is an RNA transcript of Sapajus apella (tufted capuchin), 1330 nucleotides long. It is a transcript of the gene named protein cornichon homolog 1 pseudogene, with no coding region annotated. Lineage: Eukaryota; Metazoa; Chordata; Mammalia; Primates; Cebidae. The transcript has a single exon. The record is from RefSeq and is a predicted model, not a curated record.